Molecule: non-coding RNA, 205 nt
Organism: Pelobates cultripes (western spadefoot toad)
Lineage: Eukaryota; Metazoa; Chordata; Amphibia; Anura; Pelobatidae
Source: the annotation of a GenBank genome assembly
AAAAAAAAUACCCCACCUGAAGGUCCCCCAAACAGCAAUGUGAAACCCAUGCCGACCUUUAUUCCGUCUCAUUAUUGAUUUGGCAACUUUUCGACCGUCAGUCUUGAAGAAGAUUCAGAUUCGGUUGAAACGUUGCCAGGUCAGCCACAACUGUUAAACCUUUCGCUAAAGACUGUGGUACUUCGUAACAACCUGUGAAAUUAAA